This 253-nucleotide ribosomal RNA is filed under the name uncultured bacterium. RNAcentral's name for it is "partial 16S ribosomal RNA". It matches the Rfam family "Bacterial small subunit ribosomal RNA", at positions 524 to 776 of the family's 1533-position model. The record is from RNAcentral.
GACAGAGGGUGCAAGCGUUGUUCGGAAUUACUGGGCGUAAAGGGCGCGUAGGCGGUCCGCUAAGUUCGGCGUGAAAUCCCCUGGCUCAACUGGGGAACGGCGCUGGAUACUGGUGGACUCGAGUACCGGAGAGGAGAGUGGAAUUCCUGGUGUAGCGGUGAAAUGCGUAGAUAUCAGGAGGAACACCGGUGGCGAAGGCGGGUCUCUGGGCAGUAACUGACGCUGAGGAGCGAAAGCGUGGGGAGCGAACAGG